Molecule: long non-coding RNA, 644 nt
Filed under: Mus caroli (Ryukyu mouse)
Lineage: Eukaryota; Metazoa; Chordata; Mammalia; Rodentia; Muridae
Description: lncRNA (MGP_CAROLIEiJ_G0006057.1)
Source: RNAcentral
UGAGAAUGCCCAAGCCUUAGGCAUUAUCCACUGGGGCUGGGUACCCCACAAGGUGAAAAAUAAAAGCAAGAAACAAUCCUGGAGGAAGACAAUCUGUGCUCCGUAUGUAAAAAGAACUGUGGAUAGCAGCCCAAGAUGGUAUUUUGAAGUGAGUAGACACCUGGAGAACACAGUCUUCCUGCUACCGGGAUGAUGGAUAAACAUCUUCAAUCAAGACAUCCUAAGGACUCCUACGGGUUUAGAUGAAGCUGGCAUCUAUGUUCUUCUCUAGGAGACUCUCCAGUUGUGUUUGUUUGGAAGGCGACCUCGGUAAGCAUGGAGCUAGAUGUCAACUGAAGAGACGCUUCUGAGAGGGACUCAAAACUGCCGACCUUGGGAAUUUGCUCGAGAGGAGAGAAAUUCUUGGCCACAGAGAGAGUGCUGAGAAGACAGGGGAGUGAAAAGAACGUGUCAACAGAGUGAGCCAAGCCCAGGGGACAUGGCAGAGCGCCACAAGAAACCAUUGCUCGGCAAAGGACUCCUCAGAUGAGAGUGUACAAAAUAUGAUCAUCCCUCAUCACCAGGGGUAGCCCUAGGAUCCCUGCCCAGGGUACCACAAUCUUAGAGUACUCAAGUCCCUUAUAUAAACAGCAAAAUGAAUUAGG